Molecule: microRNA precursor, 87 nt
Organism: Danio rerio (zebrafish)
Lineage: Eukaryota; Metazoa; Chordata; Actinopteri; Cypriniformes; Danionidae
Gene: dre-mir-19b
Product: microRNA 19b
Source: Ensembl
GCUGGACCCCCGGUCAGUUUUGCUGGUUUGCAUUCAGCUUUUAAGACUGUGCGCUGUGCAAAUCCAUGCAAAACUGAUUGUGGCAGC